CAACAGGUGCACCUCUUCACAUCACAGUGGGGAGGGGGGGGCAGUGUGGAGGACAUAUUGACAUUUUCUUUUUUUUACUGACCUGAUGGGAUCCUUUCACUUGGCUUUGUUGUCAAUAAAUUGUUAAUAUUAUAGGACUAUAUGAUUGAAUGGACAUGUGAAAUACAAGUUUGUGGUAAACAAUGAACACAGGUGGUAUGUGGUGUUCUAUAAAAACAAGAGUACACUACCAAAUUAAUUGGAACGAAAACACAGAAACCUUGGAUGGCUGCCUGGUAUGUGCACUGGACUGUUGCCUUGAUGGUCCUGGAUUUGAACUCUGCGCGCUGCCAUCCCCCGCCAUCCUAGGUUUGGACUAGAAUGUAAUAAUUUUCACUUCUGAAGGGACAUCCAAUGCAUAUAAAACAACAUCCCAAAUGAAAAUGUUUAUCAGAUUCCUUGUUUUUGAUUUAUCAAAUGGUCAAAAUAAGUUGAAGGCCUAUAACCCAACGCUGUUGAACUGGUUGGCAUCCUCUAUAAUCCACGAAAGGUUGACGAUGGCUUAUCAACUUGGUAGAGGAUGUUACAGGUAAAUGCAUUUGUUUCAUUUCAUCUGGAGGGUGCAUAAUGCAAGCCAUUAGUUGCAACAUUUAUCCUGCAUCGAACUUAAACAGCAAUGGAAAAAAAAAAAGAGUUGUUCUUAAUGGCCAUCGAAAGGAAAAAAGCCGCUAUUAGUUUUGUGUGGUAUGUCUGUCCGUCCGUCCCUUUUAGAUGUAAAAAAAAACAACAACUAGACAAGAUAUUGAAGAUCCGACAUCAUAUUUUAGAUCGUUCAAAGUUCUGAUGCAACGGCCCCUAUUUUUCUUCUGAAAACAAGAAGUUUAAUUUUAAAAUUAACUAUGAAAGCAGGGUUUGUUUGUUGUUGUUUUUUUCCAUAAAAAUCAAACUGUUUUUACAACUACUCACUAUUAGUUAGGCCAAGGUUGUUUUUUUCUAAUGUAAUGUUAUAAAAAUAGUAUUACAAAAUUAAGUAUUUUUAGUCAUACAUGCUGCUUACAUUUUAAAUACAAUGUUUAGUCCUACUUAAUGUGUAUAGGCUACAAGACGAAUAUAAUUAAAGAAAAAAAAAAUUAAGAAGCAGCUUUCAUCCGUAGGCCUACUAUACAAUAAACAUCAAUUGUUUUCUUCCUUAAGGCUUUGAACGAAAGAUUUGGCUUUAAAAAAAAACAAAUCAAUUAGAUUCAAUAACAUCAAUUAGUGUAGGCUACGUUCACAUUGAACCAUAUUUUCAUACCCAUCAAUUCAUUGAAUACAUAUGAAUAUUAACUGUAGGCUAUAAUAAUAAUAGGACUAACAUUAAUAAAUCUCUGUAGCCUGCGGUAUCAAGAGGUCGCAGUCUGACCAACAAUACAAUAGCUUCGGCAACACUUUCAAAACGUACGUCUCUUCUUCUUGUUCUAUUGACGAGGAUAAGGUUGUGGUUGUUGAUAGUUUGUAGUUCAUAGUUUCUGAUAUUCAUGCCGAAAAUAUUUAUACCUGCCCGAGUGGACAACUUCGUGGGCUGAUUUUGAUCUUUGUAACCUUGUUUUUUUUUUUUUUGUUCUUUCAAUCACAGCAGAAAUGACAUUCUCUAAAUUGCCCACUCAAUUGUAGGUUCAAUGCUACAAAAUUGAGAUUUAAAUCUAUCACACUCUACGGCUUGUAAACGAUUUAAGCCAGGUCAGGUUGGGUAGAUCUUGGUCAACGAAUGGUCAGGAUAGCAUUCAAAUCAUAUUUUGUAUAUAAGUGCGCGGAUCAACAAAUAAAAUAUUCCAAAGAAAGUUGAAAACAUCUAGAAAAGUUUUGUCACUUUUCUAUGCUCAGCUUAUUGUCUAAAUUAAGUUUAAUGUUAAUAGCUUUUGGCCAAGCUACUUAAGUAGGCCCCUACUUGUCCUAUCAUAUAUUAUUGAUGUCCUAUCAUACAUUAUUGAUGUCCUAUCAUAUAUUAUUGACGUCCUAUCAUAUGUUAUUGAUGUCCUAUCAUAUAUUAUUGAUGUCCUAUCAUAUAUUAUUAAUGUCCUAUCAUAUAUUAUUGAAGUCAGUUUUGUUUACUUCAUUUGAGUGAGUUUGAAGAGAGUAUAAGCUCUAUUCGCAUCCAUUUCAA
Long non-coding RNA from Biomphalaria glabrata, 2122 nucleotides. RefSeq lists it as uncharacterized. The transcript is spliced from 4 exons. Lineage: Eukaryota; Metazoa; Mollusca; Gastropoda; Planorbidae. The record is from RefSeq and is a predicted model, not a curated record.